CAGCUUUUUACUCUAGAAUUCACUGUCGUCCCGCCCAGCUUCCUCCUUCACCAACAUGCAAGUUCUUUUCCUUCCCUGCCAGCCACAUAGACAGAUGGGAGAGGCAGGCGCGGCCUACGUUGUCACUCCUGCAGGUCCU
Long non-coding RNA from Cervus elaphus (red deer), 139 nucleotides. RefSeq lists it as uncharacterized. The record is from RefSeq and is a predicted model, not a curated record. NCBI's taxonomy places the organism in Eukaryota, Metazoa, Chordata, Mammalia, Artiodactyla, Cervidae. The transcript has 3 exons.